RNAcentral lists this antisense RNA (104 nucleotides) under Solemya pervernicosa gill symbiont. RNAcentral describes it as "Vibrio RNA AS9". It matches the Rfam family "Vibrio RNA AS9". Rfam says of the family: Identified by direct cloning an parallel sequencing experiments with 5S/tRNA depletion. Lineage: Bacteria; Pseudomonadati; Pseudomonadota; Gammaproteobacteria. The record is from Rfam by way of RNAcentral.
UUGCUUGCAGCGCUUGUCAGUCAGCGUCAGGCAGAUGAGACCACGUCCGUGAGUCGCCAUAAAGUUGAUUGCGUCAGGCGUGACCGCCUCGGCAGCCAUCAACA